Molecule: ribosomal RNA, 503 nt
Filed under: Blastocystis sp. subtype 3
Lineage: Eukaryota; Bigyra; Opalinata; Blastocystidae
Description: SSU rRNA
Rfam family: Eukaryotic small subunit ribosomal RNA
Source: RNAcentral
GCAUUGGAUUGAGAACAACGUACAAACCUUAUCGAUAAACAAUUGGAGGGCAAGUCUGGUGCCAGCAGCCGCGGUAAUUCCAGCUCCAAUAGCGUAUAUUAACGUUGUUGCAGUUAAAAAGCUCGUAGUUGAAAUGAAGGGUGGUUGUGUAAUGAAUACAUUCGUGUAUUUUGUUAUUCUACCACCCUCCUUCUAAAUUCGAUAUAUGAGUAUUAAUUUACUUGUAUAUGGUUUUAGACCUUUACUGUGAGAAAAUUAGAGUGUUCAAAGCAGGCAUUUGCUUGAAUAUAUUAGCAUGGAAUAAUCAUGUAUGAUUUUCAUGAUGUAUUUGAUUGGUUUGGUUCAUGAGAAUAAGAUUAAAAGGGACAGUUGGGGGUAUUCAUAUUCAAUAGUCAGAGGUGAAAUUCUCGGAUUUAUGGAAGAUGAACAAGUGCGAAAGCAUUUACCAAGGAUGUUUUCAUUAAUCAAGAACGAAAGUUAGGGGAUCGAAGAGGAUUAGAUAC